Long non-coding RNA from Cervus elaphus (red deer), 523 nucleotides. RefSeq lists it as uncharacterized. The transcript is spliced from 4 exons. The record is from RefSeq and is a predicted model, not a curated record. Lineage: Eukaryota; Metazoa; Chordata; Mammalia; Artiodactyla; Cervidae.
CAGGACUCUGCCAGGUGAGCGCAGCAGCGACGUAGGAAGGCUGGAGCCCAGAGCAGGAAUCGAAUCUGCACUCCCUGCAGUGGAAGCACCAAGUCUUAACCACUGGACCUCCAGGGAUAUCCUGCCAACUCAGCUUUUAUACUCAGUGUUUGCUUGCAGUGAUUGAGGGAAUCUAAUAAAAAUGAGGGUGUAAAACUGCUUCCUCAAGCCACUCCUUAACACCACCGCAACUCAGCCAGCAAAGAGGAGGCAGCUCUGAGCUCUACCUGCUCCACCUGAACUUCACCUUGCCCAGAUCAGAAAGGGUCCAAGUUGGAAUCUACCAGAGGACUCAUCAGCUCCCUCUGUACCUUAACCCUCAGGGUCAAUUUCUCAAUCCCAGAGAUUUUUACAAAAUCAGGAGCCCACGUGCUCUCAAUGCUAGGGCCCCUCCAAGGCUGCGAGAAGGGUCUGGGGGGCACAGGAAUCCUGGACAGGUUGACCGGCCGUCUUGUCUGUCUGGGACAGGGCUGCUCCCAGGAUA